UUCACUAACACCUGAAUAACCUGCCCUUGACUUUGGGAUAACUUCAGGAAACUGGGGCUAAUACCGGAUAGGAGCUCCUGCUGCAUGGUGGGGGUUGGAAAGUUUCGGCGGUUGGGGAUGGACUCGCGGCUUAUCAGCUUGUUGGUGGGGUAGUGGCUUACCAAGGCUUUGACGGGUAGCCGGCCUGAGAGGGUGACCGGCCACAUUGGGACUGAGAUACGGCCCAUACUCCUACGGGAGGCAGCAGUGGGGAAUAUUGCACAAUGGGCGGAAGCCUGAUGCAGCAACGCCGCGUGCGGGAUGACGGCCUUCGGGUUGUAAACCGCUUUCGCCUGUGACGAAGCGUGAGUGACGGUAAUGGGUAAAGAAGCACCGGCUAAC
Molecule: ribosomal RNA, 381 nt
Filed under: Cutibacterium acnes
Lineage: Bacteria; Bacillati; Actinomycetota; Actinomycetes; Propionibacteriales; Propionibacteriaceae
Description: bacterial SSU rRNA
Rfam family: Bacterial small subunit ribosomal RNA
Source: RNAcentral